This 232-nucleotide ribosomal RNA is filed under the name uncultured bacterium. RNAcentral describes it as "partial 16S ribosomal RNA". It matches the Rfam family "Bacterial small subunit ribosomal RNA", at positions 28 to 259 of the family's 1533-position model. The record is from RNAcentral.
GACGAACGCUGGCGGCGUGCUUAACACAUGCAAGUCGAGCGGUAAGGGCCCUUUCGGGGGUACGACGAGCGGCGAACAGGUGAGUAACACGUGGGUGACCUGCCCUUAGCUCUGGGAUAAGCCUGGGAAACUGGGUCUAAUACCGGAUAUGACUCCAUGACGCAUGUUGUGGGGUGGAAAGCCUUGUGCGGCUAGGGAUGGGCCCGCGGCCUAUCAGCUUGUUGGUGGGGUG